This 253-nucleotide ribosomal RNA is filed under the name uncultured bacterium. RNAcentral's name for it is "partial 16S ribosomal RNA". It matches the Rfam family "Bacterial small subunit ribosomal RNA", at positions 524 to 776 of the family's 1533-position model. The record is from RNAcentral.
UACGGAGGGUGCAAGCGUUAUCCGGAUUCACUGGGUUUAAAGGGUGCGUAGGUGGAUCGGUAAGUCCGUGGUGAAAUCCCCGAGCUUAACUCGGGAACUGCCGUGGAUACUAUCGAUCUUGAAUACUGUGGAGGUAAGCGGAAUAUGUCAUGUAGCGGUGAAAUGCUUAGAUAUGACAUAGAACACCGAUAGCGAAGGCAGCUGACGAAACUGUAACUGACGCUGAGGCACGAAAGCGUGGGGAGCAAACAGG